CUGUUAGCUUCGGUCGCGUUAGGACCAGUUCUUUUUGACUCCAACAACGCUGCUUUUAAAGUAGAAUUCCUUCGUGAAGAGGUGCUGGUUGUGCGGUACGCUGCAGGAGAACUUCUCCCACGGCCACGCAGACUGACUGGCGGUUCAGUCAGUCGUUUCCACCAGCACUUGCUGCAUGGCUGAAAGUCAGUCCACACCACAGAACCUUCGCACUCUCUCCCACAGAAAAGGCAGGUUAUGAGGAAUGAACGCAAAAAAAAAAAACACCAUUGUGUGAAUUAAAUGGCAGACUUUUCUUUUUUCUUGCCAGCAACAGACAAGAGUCCAGGUCAUCAUGAUUGACACCUUUAAAUAGCUUUGACAGAGGUUGAUGAAUAAAUUGUGGACCUGCUUCGAAAUCAGAA
Long non-coding RNA from Thalassophryne amazonica, 404 nucleotides. RefSeq lists it as uncharacterized. Lineage: Eukaryota; Metazoa; Chordata; Actinopteri; Batrachoidiformes; Batrachoididae. The transcript is spliced from 3 exons. The record is from RefSeq and is a predicted model, not a curated record.